ACUGCCCUAGAGGCACCACUGGCAGCCGAGCCUUGCUCACCGUAGAGGUGGGUUGUUACAGCAAUUUUCGGUAUCUGUUGCUCACCGCACCACAACCUGUUCACCGCGCCUUUACUGGCAGCCGAGCCUGCCUACCGCGCCUUGUCAGCAGCCGCAAUCCGGAGUACGUCGACCUAGUCCGCGGAGUAGUUUAGUGUAUAGGGAGACUGUCGGCAUAAAAAUCGAGUGUUAGAAUAAAGCUUGUACCACGUCUCUGAGAGUGUCCUUUCGAGGUGAGGGAGCUCCUCGGGGACCUACCUGCCCAGCCAGCCAGCAGGCCAUCAAGCAAGUCAGCCCUACUACUGCAGGGAAAGGAAUACCGCAGAGCCAAACCAGCCGCAGCAAGAGGGCUGCAAGUCAACAACAUGAGGAUCGCGAGGCAGCGCCCCGCUGUAAGAUUACAAUGUACCAAGCCAACAGAGCCAGAGCUUUACAACAAAGAACGUGUCCUGGAAGAGGCAGCACGUUUCAACGUUUACCACGGGUCAGCACGAUAAACAAUUAAAACGAAGCUUUGGCCUCUAUGUGGACGUAUGCACGUUCCAGGUGAACGUUCUUCGGCCACCGCCAAACACCUGGCACCACGAUGCGCAGAGGAACACAAGUUGCGGAGACUGCAGAUACUGCAGAGCGGCUAGGCGACCAACCAGUCGACACCGAGAUGCACAACCGACACCGUAGGUGAAUGCCCGGCUUCCUCGAGGGCGAUCGGCCAAUCACGACGUGACCAGAAGCUGCCAGCUCACAGCAGAUGACUUGAUGCCCGGUAUCUCAAACCCCCAUGUCAUAACGUGGACCCAGACACCCCAACAGAGGAUAGAGCACGUACCGGAUGAUAAAAAGUCCUUCAAGAGUGGUUUCCCUGGUUAGGAGGGUGGGAAUUUAUCUUCCGGGGGUGCGCUAAUUGCAAAGUACAUCUCUCCCUGCUGUAGUUAAUAAAUAAUAAAUUUUAAAAACGUUUUUAUAUGUUCUAUUAUUUGGUGAAACUGGUUUGGAGCAGCAGAAGAUAUUCUUGAGAUUAAUUAUUUUAGACUUCAUUUUCAUUAAAUAUGUUUAAUUUAUUUGGCCGUAUUUAAUAAUACUAUCUCCUCAGGGAAGGGGAGGGAGAGGAGAUUGCUUGGGAGAAAUUAUGUGUGCGAGAUACCAAAUAAAUAUGUUAAAAAGAUUAUCAAGAUAACAUUUCUUAUCAAGUUUUAAAAUAACUAAAAACCAGUUAACAAAGGUGGGUAAUUCAUUUCUUAACUCCACAUAAGGAAUAAAAGCCUAAGUUAUGAACUCUUUUAAAUAAAAAGAAAUAAAAUUGAGAGAAUACAAAACUUUUCUGAGCCAUAUUUAUAAAUUUCAUGUUACAAUUAAAUUAUUGAUUAUCUUGUUUGUAGUGCUACAGAGAAAUCAACAUCUUUAAGUUACGGAUAGAAGAAAUGUUCAUCAUAGUUUUUGAAACCAAUGUAAUUAAAUAAAACAAAUUAAUAUAAUUGAUGCAGCCAUUGCAGAAAAUGAAUUGAUUUACAGUUGUACAAAGUACAGAAAAAUUUAUUUAUUCUUACAAUUUAUAAAGUUUUAAUAAUUAUGCUCAACCAAACUACUGCUCUUAAAAAUACGGGGGCACAUUUUGUAAAUGAGAUUCCUCCCUAAGCUGAUACAAAUAAAUUUUAACAUUAUGACAUACAAACGUAAAAAAUGUGGAAAAUAUUGAUCUCUUUGCUUACUAGAUUACAUGAAAGUAAUGUUUAAAAUUCUGCUUAUCCAAACAUUUGUCCAAUAAAUAAUAUAUUUAUAUUACCUAAUAGACUAUCAUGUUCUGAGUAAAAUUAUCAAUUAUGCAGACACUGCAAAUGAGAAAAUUAAAAUUAAAAAAAAAAAAAAAA
This is a long non-coding RNA of Bacillus rossius redtenbacheri, 1907 nucleotides long. RefSeq lists it as uncharacterized. NCBI's taxonomy places the organism in Eukaryota, Metazoa, Arthropoda, Insecta, Phasmatodea, Bacillidae. The record is from RefSeq and is a predicted model, not a curated record. The transcript is spliced from 3 exons.